RNAcentral lists this ribosomal RNA (964 nucleotides) under uncultured bacterium. RNAcentral describes it as "bacterial SSU rRNA". It matches the Rfam family "Bacterial small subunit ribosomal RNA", at positions 523 to 1482 of the family's 1533-position model. The record is from RNAcentral.
AUACGUAGGUGCAAGCGUUAUCCGGAAUUAUUGGGCGUAAAGGGCUCGUAGGCGGUUCGUCGCGUCCGGUGUGAAAGUCCAUCGCUUAACGGUGGAUCCGCGCCGGGUACGGGCGGGCUUGAGUGCGGUAGGGGAGACUGGAAUUCCCGGUGUAACGGUGGAAUGUGUAGAUAUCGGGAAGAACACCAAUGGCGAAGGCAGGUCUCUGGGCCGUUACUGACGCUGAGGAGCGAAAGCGUGGGGAGCGAACAGGAUUAGAUACCCUGGUAGUCCACGCCGUAAACGGUGGAUGCUGGAUGUGGGGCCCGUUCCACGGGUUCCGUGUCGGAGCUAACGCGUUAAGCAUCCCGCCUGGGGAGUACGGCCGCAAGGCUAAAACUCAAAGAAAUUGACGGGGGCCCGCACAAGCGGCGGAGCAUGCGGAUUAAUUCGAUGCAACGCGAAGAACCUUACCUGGGCUUGACAUGUUCCCGACGGUCGUAGAGAUACGGCUUCCCUUCGGGGCGGGUUCACAGGUGGUGCAUGGUCGUCGUCAGCUCGUGUCGUGAGAUGUUGGGUUAAGUCCCGCAACGAGCGCAACCCUCGCCCCGUGUUGCCAGCGGAUUAUGCCGGGAACUCACGGGGGACCGCCGGGGUUAACUCGGAGGAAGGUGGGGAUGACGUCAGAUCAUCAUGCCCCUUACGUCCAGGGCUUCACGCAUGCUACAAUGGCCGGUACAACGGGAUGCGACGCGGCGACGCGGAGCGGAUCCCUGAAAACCGGUCUCAGUUCGGAUCGCAGUCUGCAACUCGACUGCGUGAAGGCGGAGUCGCUAGUAAUCGCGAAUCAGCAACGUCGCGGUGAAUGCGUUCCCGGGCCUUGUACACACCGCCCGUCAAGUCAUGAAAGUGGGCAGCACCCGAAGCCGGUGGCCUAACCCCUUGUGGGAUGGAGCCGUCUAAGGUGAGGCUCGUGAUUGGGACU